Molecule: ribosomal RNA, 501 nt
Filed under: uncultured bacterium
Lineage: Bacteria
Description: partial 16S ribosomal RNA
Rfam family: Bacterial small subunit ribosomal RNA
Source: RNAcentral
AUUGAACGCUGGCGGCAUGCCUUACACAUGCAAGUCGAACGGCAGCACGGGUGCUUGCACCUGGUGGCGAGUGGCGAACGGGUGAGUAAUAUAUCGGAACGUACCUUAUUGUGGGGGAUAACGCUGCGAAAGCUGUGCUAAUACCGCAUAAUCCUUAAGGGGGAAAGCGGGGGACCGUAAGGCCUCGCGCAAUUAGAGCGGCCGAUACCUGAUUAGCUAGUUGGUGAGGUAAAGGCUCACCAAGGCAACGAUCAGUAGCUGGUCUGAGAGGACGAUCAGCCACACUGGGACUGAGACACGGCCCAGACUCCUACGGGAGGCAGCAGUGGGGAAUUUUGGACAAUGGGGGCAACCCUGAUCCAGCAAUGCCGCGUGAGUGAAGAAGGCCUUCGGGUUGUAAAGCUCUUUUGUCAGGGAAGAAACAGCAGUUCUAACACAGUUUGCGAAUGACGGUACCUGAAGAAUAAGCACCGGCUAACUACGUGCCAGCCGCCGCCGUAA